AGCGAACGCUGGCGGCAGGCCUAAUACAUGCAAGUCGAACGGAUCCUUCGGGAUUAGUGGCGGACGGGUGAGUAACACGUGGGAACGUGCCCUUUGGUUCGGAACAACUCAGGGAAACUUGAGCUAAUACCGGAUAAGCCCUUCGGGGAAAGAUUUAUCGCCAUUGGAGCGGCCCGCGUCUGAUUAGCUAGUUGGUGGGGUAAAGGCCUACCAAGGCGACGAUCAGUAGCUGGUCUGAGAGGAUGAUCAGCCACACUGGGACUGAGACACGGCCCAGACUCCUACGGGAGGCAGCAGUAGGGAAUCUUGCGCAAUGGGCGAAAGCCUGACGCAGCCAUGCCGCGUGAAUGAUGAAGGUCUUAGGAUUGUAAAAUUCUUUCAGCGGGGACGAUAAUGACGGUACCCGCAGAAG
RNAcentral lists this ribosomal RNA (412 nucleotides) under uncultured bacterium. RNAcentral's name for it is "bacterial SSU rRNA". It matches the Rfam family "Bacterial small subunit ribosomal RNA", at positions 29 to 487 of the family's 1533-position model. The record is from RNAcentral.